AGGCCGGGUAAGGAGAUCCUGCAGGAUGGGGCUCCUCCUGGGCUCCUCUGACUAAGUGAGCCCGGGAGUGGUGGAGGCGAGAGCACUAGGGAAGGAGAGGAAGAGGAUGAUGGCUGAAAGGAGCUAGGAGAGACGUGAAAGGUUAUCCUAGGUUUAACCUCUCUAGUGACAAAUGGGAAAAUGAGGAGGCCCGAUUAAGUUGGUUUGCCAAGUUUACCCCAGGAGUUAAGUGGAAGGCAGGCGCACCCUGGUCAAUGUGAAAUUGUACACAGGACGUGCUUUAAAGACAUUGCUACCAGAUGUACAGAGGAUACUGCUAGGAUGCUGAUGAGAAACCAAAUUCAGCUGACCCUUCAAAGAAGGGCUAAAAGGGUUGAAGUAUGCACUAACGGAGAAAAUACUCAAGCAUCAGUUCACAGAUACUUUUAAGAAGUAUUGAAAUACUUUAGCCAACAGGUUUGAUUGGUUGUCUUGACAAUAUUGGAUCCUUGGGCUCCCUCUGGUGGUAAAAUUAAGUACUCGAACUUCUCCCAACCACACAGGACCACCACCAAGGAAUGAAAUAAUCGAAAUAUGACAUACUGAGAAAAUUUAAUUAAUCAACAAGAAUUUAUUAAAAGUGCCUACUACAUGGGGCAGCUUUGUGGUACAGUGGAUAGAGCACCAUCCUUGAAGUCAAGAGGACUGGAGUUCAAAUCU
Molecule: non-coding RNA, 699 nt
Organism: Phascolarctos cinereus (koala)
Lineage: Eukaryota; Metazoa; Chordata; Mammalia; Diprotodontia; Phascolarctidae
Source: RefSeq, a predicted model, not a curated record